CUUCAGUGUGAUGCAGAGUUUGGAAAAAUGUUUCCGGGGGAGGAGGACCUUCGGAUAUGGGAAGGACACAUCAUUCCAAAAGUCCUAAAAGUGGCAACACUUGAAAAUGACCCCAAGGAGAGAGAAUGAGGUCUUCAGCUUCUGGCACACUAUCUGCCUCCUACUGCGUCAGGAAGGGCCAAAGGAGGGACCAGAUAAAGUGUAAAAUCAGCCCUCUUACAUCUUGGACCUUAGACCGGCCAGGAGUAUCAACAACAGUCAGAUCCUGAUCAUCAAGGUGUCUCGUCUCUUUGCGGCACUCUUGUGUCACAGAUGAUGAACUUUUUCCAG
Long non-coding RNA from Cheilinus undulatus (humphead wrasse), 330 nucleotides. RefSeq lists it as uncharacterized. NCBI's taxonomy places the organism in Eukaryota, Metazoa, Chordata, Actinopteri, Labriformes, Labridae. The transcript has 3 exons. The record is from RefSeq and is a predicted model, not a curated record.